RNAcentral lists this long non-coding RNA (336 nucleotides) under Manacus vitellinus (golden-collared manakin). Its description in RNAcentral is "lncRNA (ENSMVIG00005013903.1)". The record is from RNAcentral. Lineage: Eukaryota; Metazoa; Chordata; Aves; Passeriformes; Pipridae.
CAUUUGGGUUUACAUGGAACAUUUGGGUUUACAGCUUUCCAAACUCUUCCAAGAGAAUGAUGGGGCUGCUCUGGGAAGGCUCUGAGCAGGAAUCACAGGCUCAGGCCUUGCCUACAGCAGGAGGUGGAGGGAGAUCUGAUAGAUCAUCUGAGAGAUUCAGCUCACAGCAGCUGCAUUUUAAUCCUCAGGUGAUGCAUCUCCUCGCCAGGCACAGCCAGAGAGCUUCCUGAAGGAAGCAAUUACAGAAAUUGAGCUCACCCAAACAAUUAAAAAAGCUGAGAUAUAUGCCAAAGCUUCAGGUUUUCCCUCUACUAUGCCUAGAACCUGCAUCAGACC